ACAUUCUAAUAAUGCAGUCGAGCGACAGACGAGGAGCUUGCUCCUCUGACGUUAGCGGCGGACGGGUGAGUAACACGUGGAUAACCUACCUAUAAGACUGGGAUAACUUCGGGAAACCGGAGCUAAUACCGGAUAAUAUAUUGAACCGCAUGGUUCAAUAGUGAAAGACGGUUUUGCUGUCACUUAUAGAUGGAUCCGCGCCGCAUUAGCUAGUUGGUAAGGUAACGGCUUACCAAGGCAACGAUGCGUAGCCGACCUGAGAGGGUGAUCGGCCACACUGGAACUGAGACACGGUCCAGACUCCUACGGGAGGCAGCAGUAGGGAAUCUUCCGCAAUGGGCGAAAGCCUGACGGAGCAACGCCGCGUGAGUGAUGAAGGUCUUCGGAUCGUAAAACUCUGUUAUUAGGGAAGAACAAAUGUGUAAGUAACUAUGCACGUCUUGACGGUACCUAAUCAGAAAGCCACGGCUAACUACGUGCCAGCAGCCGCGGUAAUACGUAGGUGGCAAGCGUUAUCCGGAAUUAUUGGGCGUAAAGCGCGCGUAGGCGGUUUUUUAAGUCUGAUGUGAAAGCCCACGGCUCAACCGUGGAGGGUCAUUGGAAACUGGAAAACUUGAGUGCAGAAGAGGAAAGUGGAAUUCCAUGUGUAGCGGUGAAAUGCGCAGAGAUAUGGAGGAACACCAGUGGCGAAGGCGACUUUCUGGUCUGUAACUGACGCUGAUGUGCGAAAGCGUGGGGAUCAAACAGGAUUAGAUACCCUGGUAGUCCACGCCGUAAACGAUGAGUGCUAAGUGUUAGGGGGUUUCCGCCCCUUAGUGCUGCAGCUAACGCAUUAAGCACUCCGCCUGGGGGAGUACGACCGCAAGGUUGAAACUCAAAAGGAUGACGGGACCCGCCACAAGCGGUGGAGCAUGUGGUUUAAUUCGAAGCAACGCGAAGAACCUUACCAAAUCUUGACAUCCUCUGACCCCUCUAGAGAUAGAGUUUUCCCCUUCGGGGGACAGAGUGACAGGU
This 1014-nucleotide ribosomal RNA is filed under the name Staphylococcus sp. A5.3. RNAcentral's name for it is "bacterial SSU rRNA". It matches the Rfam family "Bacterial small subunit ribosomal RNA", at positions 46 to 1039 of the family's 1533-position model. The record is from RNAcentral. Lineage: Bacteria; Bacillati; Bacillota; Bacilli; Caryophanales; Staphylococcaceae.